RNAcentral lists this ribosomal RNA (465 nucleotides) under uncultured bacterium. RNAcentral's name for it is "partial 16S ribosomal RNA". It matches the Rfam family "Bacterial small subunit ribosomal RNA", at positions 28 to 507 of the family's 1533-position model. The record is from RNAcentral.
GACGAACGCUGGCGGCGUGCUUAACACAUGCAAGUCGAACGGAAAGGCCCUGCUUGCAGGGUACUCGAGUGGCGAACGGGUGAGUAACACGUGGGUGAUCUGCCCUGCACUUCGGGAUAAGCCUGGGAAACUGGGUCUAAUACCGGAUAGGAGCCAUUCUUAGUGUGUUGGUUGGAAAGUUUUUUCGGUGUAGGAUGAGCUCGCGGCCUAUCAGCUUGUUGGUGGGGUAAUGGCCUACCAAGGCGGCGACGGGUAGCCGGCCUGAGAGGGUGGACGGCCACAGUGGGACUGAGAUACGGCCCAGACUCCUACGGGAGGCAGAAGUGGGGAAUAUUGCACAAUGGGCGCAAGCCUGAUGCAGCGACGCCGCGUGGGGGAUGACGGCCUUCGGGUUGUAAACUCCUUUCGCUAGGGACGAAGCUUUUUGUGACGGUACCUAGAUAAGAAGCACCGGCUAACUACGUG